RNAcentral lists this long non-coding RNA (453 nucleotides) under Solanum tuberosum (potato). RNAcentral's name for it is "long non-coding RNA (STUB_LNC002966)". Lineage: Eukaryota; Viridiplantae; Streptophyta; Magnoliopsida; Solanales; Solanaceae. The record is from RNAcentral.
UUCCCUCUUAAGAUAAUAAGUUAUUGAUUGAGGUUGAUAAACUCACAUGUAUAUCUGCUGGAGCAUUAUCCUUUUUCUAACCCCAACAAACCUUUUAUAGUCCUAAGCCUUCUCUAAUUUUCCAGUAAAGAUGACUGCUGUUAGUACUACUCACACUAGUCUUCCUUCAAAAGGCUUAUUUGAUAUAUGCGCAACUUCCCACUUUAAACCUGCCCCUCCUACUGCCCUUCUCACUUUAAACCUGCCCCUCCUUUCACACUUCUCCCCACCAAAAAAGAAAAAGGAGAGAGAAUGAAAGCAAGCAAAAUAAAGAAUACUAUGUAAAUGAAAAAGGAAAGGACACACCGUUAAAUUUUCUUGUUCCAUAUGCCAUUUUUAUUCUACUUCUCAAAAAUUGUAGAGGUAAUAAAACUAUGAUCUAUUCAUAGAUGUACAUGAUAUGUUCAAUGAAAC